UGGAAAGGGCUAAGGGCUAGGACGGG
This 26-nucleotide non-coding RNA is filed under the name Rattus norvegicus (Norway rat). Lineage: Eukaryota; Metazoa; Chordata; Mammalia; Rodentia; Muridae. The record is from RNAcentral.